GUGGCAAACUGCCUUUUGAAUUACUUCUUUUUUAAAAGCUUGGAGGAAGACACAGGGGAGCUGCAAGGAGCAGAUUUCUUCAGCCAGGAGGAUAAAUGCAGCUGUCAAGCCUGCAGGGAAAGAUUCCCCAAGACCCGCUCACUGGAGCCAAGUGU
Lacerta agilis (Sand lizard) is the source of this 155-nucleotide long non-coding RNA. RefSeq lists it as uncharacterized. The transcript is spliced from 2 exons. NCBI's taxonomy places the organism in Eukaryota, Metazoa, Chordata, Lepidosauria, Squamata, Lacertidae. The record is from RefSeq and is a predicted model, not a curated record.